Molecule: ribosomal RNA, 345 nt
Filed under: Ixodes scapularis (black-legged tick)
Lineage: Eukaryota; Metazoa; Arthropoda; Arachnida; Ixodida; Ixodidae
Description: partial 12S ribosomal RNA
Source: RNAcentral
AUUAUUUUAAGCUAUAUAUUAGGAGUAAAUAAAAUUUAUGAAAUUAAAAAAUUUUGGCGGUAUUUUAAGCUUAUUAGAGGAAUUUGCUCUGUGAUGGACACAACGCCUUAAUCUUACUUAAUUUAGUAAUUUAAAUCAGUUUGUAUACCACUAUAUUAAUUAUAUUGAAUAGUUAUACUUAAAAUUUUUUUUAAAAAAAUAUAUUAAGUCAAGGUGCAUCUAAUAAUUAUGAAUGAAGUGAAUUACAUUAAUUUUAAUGUAAUUUUUUACAUGAAAAAAUUAAUUAGGAUUUAAUAGUAAAAUACUAAUAUUAUGAGUAUUUGAAUCAAGCUCUAAAAUAUGCAC